GGAGAGGUGGCCGAGUGGUCGAAGGCGCUCCCCUGCUAAGGGAGUAGCCCAGUGAUGGGCUCGAGGGUUCGAAUCCCUUCCUCUCCUCCA
Molecule: transfer RNA, 90 nt
Filed under: Mesorhizobium sp. NBSH29
Lineage: Bacteria; Pseudomonadati; Pseudomonadota; Alphaproteobacteria; Hyphomicrobiales; Phyllobacteriaceae
Description: tRNA-Ser
Rfam family: tRNA
About the family: Transfer RNA (tRNA) molecules are approximately 80 nucleotides in length.
Source: RNAcentral